Long non-coding RNA from Armigeres subalbatus, 456 nucleotides. RefSeq lists it as uncharacterized. The transcript is spliced from 3 exons. The record is from RefSeq and is a predicted model, not a curated record. NCBI's taxonomy places the organism in Eukaryota, Metazoa, Arthropoda, Insecta, Diptera, Culicidae.
UUUUGUACGAUUAAACUAAAAAAUUAUAUUGUUGAUUCUAACAAUCGAUUGAUUAUUGAAUCAAAAAAAUUUGAUUGUUGAUUUAACAAUAUUUUUUGCUUAAAAUAACAAUAUUAUUUUUAUUUCAACAAUAUUUAUUGUUGAUCUUAUUUGCGUUAUUAAGAAUAAGCGUGUACCUUGCAUGUUUACCUUUUAUGUUUGUUCUUCAGUCUUGAACUAAAUAAAAGAUUUCCCCGUGAUAGGAAACUCACUGUUUCCUAGAGAAAUAAACAAAUGUUUAGUGCAAACAUAAAUGAUAAUAAGGAACCAAGAAAGGGAAGAGCUACGCCAACGUCAUCCGCCUUCAUUUACUCCCGGAUAAAUGGAUGGUGAAAAUACCAGGUCUUUUCUACAGACACAUCUGCAUCCUCCGCUUUCAUGUACAGCUUCGCUUCACAACAUCAUCAACAACAGCUG